This 497-nucleotide ribosomal RNA is filed under the name uncultured bacterium. Its description in RNAcentral is "partial 16S ribosomal RNA". It matches the Rfam family "Bacterial small subunit ribosomal RNA", at positions 28 to 507 of the family's 1533-position model. The record is from RNAcentral.
GAUGAACGCUGGCGGCGUGCCUAAUACAUGCAAGUCGAGCGAACAGACGAGGAGCUUGCUCCUUUGACGUUAGCGGCGGACGGGUGAGUAACACGUGGGUAACCUACCUAUAAGACUGGGAUAACUUCGGGAAACCGGAGCUAAUACCGGAUAAUAUUUCGAACCGCAUGGUUCGAUAGUGAAAGAUGGCUUUGCUAUCACUUAUAGAUGGACCUGCGCCGUAUUAGCUAGUUGGUAAGGUAACGGCUUACCAAGGCAACGAUACGUAGCCGACCUGAGAGGGUGAUCGGCCACACUGGGACUGAGACACGGUCCAGACUCCUACGGGAGGCAGCAGUAGGGAAUCUUCCGCAAUGGGCGAAAGCCUGACGGAGCAACGCCGCGUGAGUGAUGAAGGUCUUCGGAUCGUAAAACUCUGUUAUUAGGGAAGAACAAACGUGUAAGUAACUGUGCACGUCUUGACGGUACCUAAUCAGAAAGCCACGGCUAACUACGUG